This 451-nucleotide ribosomal RNA is filed under the name uncultured bacterium. RNAcentral's name for it is "partial 16S ribosomal RNA". It matches the Rfam family "Bacterial small subunit ribosomal RNA", at positions 28 to 507 of the family's 1533-position model. The record is from RNAcentral.
GAUGAACGCUGGCGGCGUGCCUAACACAUGCAAGUCGAGCGGCAGCGCGGGGUGCUUGCACCCUGUCGGCGAGCGGCGGACGGCUGAGUAACGCGUGGGAACGUGCCCCAAAGUGAGGAAUAACUGCCCGAAAGGGUAGCUAAUACCGCAUAUUAUCUUCGGAUCAAAGGAUUUAUCCGCUUUGGGAGCGGCUCGCGUCGGAUUAGGUAGUUGGUGAGGUAAUGGCUCACCAAGCCGACGAUCCGUAGCUGGUCUGAGAGGAUGACCAGCCAGACUGGAACUGAGACACGGUCCAGACUCCUACGGGAGGCAGCAGUUAGGAAUCUUCCACAAUGGGCGAAAGCCUGAUGGAGCAACGCCGCGUGCAGGACGAAGGCCUUCGGGUUGUAAACUGCUUUUAUAAGUGAGGAAUAUGACGGUAACUUAUGAAUAAGGAUCGGCUAACUACGUG